Ctenopharyngodon idella (grass carp) is the source of this 1617-nucleotide non-coding RNA. The record is from the annotation of a RefSeq genome assembly. Lineage: Eukaryota; Metazoa; Chordata; Actinopteri; Cypriniformes; Xenocyprididae.
GUUGAGAUAAUUGAAAAACUUUUGCUUGGCAAUUUGUAUAUUCUCAAAUGUCAGGGUGGCACAACGGCAAAUAAUUUAUUAUCAACUGACAAGGCAAUAACGUUAAGCCUGAUACUGUAAUGCAACAUCCAGAAGACCCCAUGUGGCAGAGCGAAAAGGGAUGCAGAUAUCUCUCAAAUACUGAUAAAAACAGAUCAUUUCAAGUAUGGGUAGAUAUUAAUGGUUGUACCACCUGACAAAAAAGUUAAGAAAAUUAAAAAUUAAAAAAUAAACACUUUGAAAUGUUAUGUAACAACUGAAACUUGUUUAAACACAUUGUUCAUGACUUAAAAAUAUGCAUUACAUCGUUUUUUAAAGAUUUUUAAAAAACAUUGUUUUGAAGCUUUAUUUCCUCAGUGACCCAUAUAGGCUAACAAAACCUGUUGGAAAAACAUUACAAUAAAAGUGUGUUUUCCUUAGUGUAUUUGUACAUCCACAGCUGAAAAUGUUCCAAAAUCAAUAGACAAUAUGCCUGUAGUUUUGAUGUUAGUAUUUACUUUUAAUAAAUGCAUUACUAGAAACAAAAAUGCAGUGUUUUAUUUUGCAGUAAAGUUUAACUGUUUGCCAAAUGUAAGAGUGUGUUCAGAUCACUGUGUUAACUGUUUUGAGAACAGGUACAUUACUUUGGAGAAAUGUGUCAAAUCGAUUGAGAAAAACUGUAAUAAGAGAAUAACCAUUAAAAAAAUGUAUUAAGAUGACAUAUAGUCAAGUGACAUCCCUGAUCAAGCGAAAUUUAAUUUAAAUCCUACACUAUGCAUGUAUAAAAUAUAAUUAAAACAACUUUUAUAAAUAGUAUAGCUUAUUUAAGCAUUGUACAUUCAAAGUGGUGCAGAAAAAUAUAAUUAAAUGCCUUAUGUGUAUUGGAUGUUUGGAUGUUUUGGUUAUAUUAGGUUCAAUUUAAAAUAAAAAAAAAAUAAUAAUUAAAAAAAAAAACAGAGUAGCGACUUAAAGUCCAUGGGGGACAUGGCCAAACCAGCUGAGCACCAAUGGUGUAAGAUAUUCCAACAAAAGUGAUCUUACCUGCAUUCUGCCAGAAGAUGGAGCUCUAGGAGCCAUUCUAGUUCAGUCUCAGUUCAGUUGUUAAAACAGAGACAGACUUACAUUGAGUCACUUAUACUCUAGUAGAGAACUGUGAGUCUUGAGUCUCAAACUCAUUGUCUCUUACUAGUGCAGAUGUUGCUCCUGGUAUUCAUUAUAUCUUCUCUUCUAAAAGGGAAUGCUGCUGCAGACGUGAUAACACCAUUAUUCACAGACAAGCAUGUUUUGGAAGGAAAAGAUGUUACACUGAUCUGCAACUACACUGGCAAUGUUAAUAAUUUGCAGUGGUACCGUCAGUAUCCCGGAUCCAAACCUGAACACCUCAUUUUGUUCAGUGAGUCCAGCCCCAUACCAGAGCCCUCUCUCCGUCUGACCGCUGCAGCAGAUAAAGCCAUCAAACAUAUGAAUCUGACGAUCUCUUCUACAGAAGUGAAAGACUCUGCCAUGUACUACUGUGCCCUGGAGCCCACAGUGACAGGAAACACUACUGCACCCUACAAAAACUCAAUGAGAAAUUAUACAUUUUGCCACACAUGGUAA